UCGUCUUUAAAUAAAAAAGAAAAUACUCUAGUAACUAACUGUCAUUGAUUCUCCAAUUUAAAAGAUGGAUGUCAGAAAUUACAAGUUUUUUUGUUUUCACCUUUUAAAUACAUCUUCACAAAUUGAAAGAAAUGUGGGCGACUGAUUAUUCUUAUUCGAAGUUAAACAAUUUGUUAUUAGUGUUAUAUAAAAAAUUUAUUAAUUAGAUUAUAAUCUCUUACCAAAAAUAGUGUUUAAAAUGGUCUUUUCAUUUGCACCAGUUAGGUUCCCCAUCCUGAAAAGUUCCACUUGUUUUUUGUUUUUUUUGGCUUAUAUAAAGCUUGUAUAUCUUUGGGAUAAAUGUAGAUCCCACUACCAGACAUCAGCUCCAUCAUCUAGAAUAAGAAAAAGAAGCCAAGAUAAAAGAAAAUCACAAUCCAUUUAUUUCAAAGCUUUAUUAUUAUUAUUAAAAAUUUUAAAAAAAAAGACUCAAAAACUUUUUUAACCUCCAGUUAACAUUUUUUUUAUUACUCAUUCCGAAAUUUUCUUAUCUAAUUUAUAGCUUUUUUAACUUCAUGUGAAUAAAAAAGAAUUUUCUCCCUACUUUCCUACUCGACCCUUUUUAUCCCUAGUCUCCCGGGAGAGGCCUAGAGGGCAAGCAAAUAUUUUCUUAAAGAUAUAAAUAUUUUUUUCAGUAUUAGGGAAGGGAAAUUCUAUACUAUUAUAAACACAUUUUCUUAUUUCUAAAUCAUGUAAAUUUUCAUAAUCGUACUUUUAUUAUUUAAAAAUGUUUGUCCACAUAAGAAUAUGUAUUUUGUCAACAAAAUGGAGGGAAUCAAGGGCUAAUAUGUAGGACUGUAUAGUCCAACUGCAGUUUUAAUUAUCCUCAAGUUAAAAUAAACUUAAUACAUUCUGACAAAAUUUGUGUAAAUAUUGUAAACAGAAACUUGCUUGAAAAGGCCUACCUAAGAUCUUGGCGGGAUGCACGCCAGAAAAGCCAUGGCAGCUGGCUUUCACCAAAUCCCCAACUUUAUACUGGCAAAACUCCUUUCUUGGAUCUUUGAUGCGUGAUAUGGUUAUGAUGCUGACCUUUUCUUCCUCUAUCCACUCCAUAAGGGCAUACAUGGUUCGUUGAACAAAGUAAUAAUAGAACCUUUCAACUUUCACCUUCUUGAACCGACGCUAUCUUGUUUGAAAAUGGAGAGCGGAGCCGAUUUGACCAAUCAGCGAUUAGAGGAAAUACCGGAAUCAAGGAAUUCAAAACCUUUAUGACUUCAAAUGAUUAAAAAUCGUAAAGUAUAUACGUGAGAUUUUUUUUAGUUAUUCAUCAGUUUUGCUGAAAUUAAUCAGGAACAAUCAAACGUAUUUUUAUUUUUACGUAAAUACCCGAUUCGCACACUUCCGGUUAUUCCGGAUGUAAACGAAGAAGGCGCCAUUUUAAAAACAAAGAUUGAAAUAAAAGCGAAACACUCGUCACUGCUCCGAAGCUAUGUACCCUCACAAACGUGGUAGCUACCAGGUUUUCCAUGCCGAUAAGUCUAAUCCAACACUCAAAGUAUCCCUUUGGCGAAUGCAACAAGGAAAAGACAACAUUUCAUCAGAAAAUUUCGACAAUCGAAGUGUGGCGUGUGAAACUGCUGGCCCUGUCGCCAUUAUGAUUAUCGAUGCCUUUCAUGAGAAAUCAUUUAACCAGUUGCUUCAAGAUGUUGCUGAAGAACCUGCUUUCUUACCAUAUCAUAUCUAUGUUGACGGAGAUUCAGAAUGAGACAAAGAGUUUGAUAUAUGAUCCUACACCUGACAGAAAAAGUUGAGGAUCUUGGACCACUUUGGUGCUCAUCUUGUUUCUAUUUUGAGGAUUGUAAUGGAUAAUUGAGAUGCCUUUUCCAUGGCAUCCAACAUAUUGAAACCCAAAUAGCAUUUGCGGUUUGUGUUCAUCAGCAGCUACUGACAUUGUCCCAAGCUCUGAAGUUUGACAGCAGUGAAAGGGAAUAGACAGGGUUGCUGUUAUUGGAGCCUAUGUAAAAGACCUUUGAAAUCUGAGGAACAGGCAGUCCUUUUGACCUUAGCUGGAGAGUAGGUCCGUGUGGUUUUCUUCAAAAGACUACUUGUGGACGAACAGGUUGAGACAACAAAAUAAUUCGAUUCAAGGAAACGUUCAUUGGGAGAUUAGAAACUUUUGUUAAAGUAACAGGACAUGACUACAAAUGAAAAACUUUGUUUUGUUUUCACAGUUCCUAACAGGAUUGAACAGGAAUAUAACAUGAACAUGUUCAAUGUCCAGAACAGAGACAUCAUUUAACAGUCAUACCUUGUUUUGUGUCACAUUUACCAAUGAGAUUUGAAUAUAGAAAUAUUUUUUGAUACUUUUUUGGAAAAGAUGUUUUUAUAUAUAUGCCUUAAUUUGAUUUUGAUAGACUAUGCAUACCUAAAUUGAUGAAUAGUGUCUCUUUUAACAUGGAACAGAAGUCCAUAUGGACUUAUUUUUAAUAAAUACUGUGACAUAUCUCA
Long non-coding RNA from Ostrea edulis (European flat oyster), 2487 nucleotides. RefSeq lists it as uncharacterized. The transcript has 2 exons. The record is from RefSeq and is a predicted model, not a curated record. NCBI's taxonomy places the organism in Eukaryota, Metazoa, Mollusca, Bivalvia, Ostreida, Ostreidae.